This 833-nucleotide ribosomal RNA is filed under the name uncultured bacterium. RNAcentral's name for it is "bacterial SSU rRNA". It matches the Rfam family "Bacterial small subunit ribosomal RNA", at positions 9 to 853 of the family's 1533-position model. The record is from RNAcentral.
GAGUUUGAUCCUGGCUCAGAAUCAACGAUGGCGGCGUGCCUCAGACAUGCGAGUCGAACGAUUAAAGCUCCCUUCGGGGAGUGCAUAGAGUGGCGCACGGGUGAGUAACACGUAAGUAAUCUACCUUCGGAUGGGGAAUAACAGUCGGAAACGACUGCUAAUACCGCAUAAUGCAGCGGCACCUAAUGGUGACAGUUGUUAAAGUAUUUAUACGUCUGGAGAGGAGCUUGCGGCAGAUUAGCUAGUUGGUAAGGUAAUGGCUUACCAAGGCUACGAUCUGUAGCCGACCUGAGAGGGUGGUCGGUCACACUGACACUGAAUAACGGGUCAGACUCCUACGGGAGGCAGCAGUCGGGAAUUUUGGGCAAUGGGCGAAAGCCUGACCCAGCAACGCCGCGUGAAGGAUGAAGUCUUUCGGGAUGUAAACUUCGUAAGAAUAGGAAGAAUAAAUGACGGUACUAUUUGUAAGGUCCGGCUAACUACGUGCCAGCAGCCGCGGUAAUACGUAGGGACCAAGCGUUGUUCGGAAUUACUGGGCGUAAAGGGCGCGUAGGCGGCGUGUCAAGUCAAUUGUGAAAUCUCCGAGCUUAACUCGGAACGGUCAAUUGAUACUGAUGUGCUAGAGUGCAGAAGGGGCAAUCGGAAUUCUUGGUGUAGCGGUGAAAUGCGUAGAUAUCAAGAGGAACACCUGAGGUGAAGACGGGUUGCUGGGCUGACACUGACGCUGAGGCGCGAAAGCUAGGGUAGCAAACGGGAUUAGAUACCCCGGUAGUCCUAGCCCUAAACGAUGAAUACUUGGUGUCUGGAGUUUUAAUUCUCCGGGUGCCGUCGCU